CUUCCACAAGUACUUGCAAUUAGAGAUGCACCGAUUGACUGGCCGGUGACCGGAAUUGGCCGGUCUUCACGUGACCGGCUAUGACCGGCAGGUCAGACUGAUAUAUGCCGAUUAUAUGCUGGUCAAAUGCACUCGGGUGCCGCAUGUUUAACAUCGCGCAACAUCAGCAUCACACGUGCACACGCACUGCCGCUCCAUCAGCUGUUCAUGAAAUGUCAGAAAAGCUCUGCAGAGCAGUCUGCGAUACUGAUCUCAGGCGAACGGUCAGCCACUCUCUCUCCCCUCUGAGGCUGAACAACUGGAACAAACCGCAAUCACAGCUACAGUAUAUCAGAAAAUAGU
Etheostoma spectabile (orangethroat darter) is the source of this 342-nucleotide long non-coding RNA. RefSeq lists it as uncharacterized. The transcript has 4 exons. The record is from RefSeq and is a predicted model, not a curated record. NCBI's taxonomy places the organism in Eukaryota, Metazoa, Chordata, Actinopteri, Perciformes, Percidae.